This 387-nucleotide RNase P RNA is filed under the name Holosporales bacterium. Its description in RNAcentral is "RNase P RNA component class A". It matches the Rfam family "Bacterial RNase P class A". From Rfam's summary of the family: Ribonuclease P (RNase P) is a ubiquitous endoribonuclease, found in archaea, bacteria and eukarya as well as chloroplasts and mitochondria. Its best characterised activity is the generation of mature 5'-ends of tRNAs by cleaving the 5'-leader elements of precursor-tRNAs. The record is from RNAcentral. Lineage: Bacteria; Pseudomonadati; Pseudomonadota; Alphaproteobacteria; Holosporales.
UGUGGCAAUCGGUUGGUCGCUGUGAGCUUAUGUUCAUAGAGGAAAGUCCGGGCUUCAUGUAAGCAUGGUGCCGGAUAACGUCCGGCGUCGGAGCGCGCGAGGUCUUCGAUAGGGAAAGUGCAACAGAAAGUAUACCGCCUCUCGCGAGGUAAGGGUGAAAUGGUGUAGGUAAGAGCUCACCGCAUAUGUGGUAACAUGUAUGGCACGGCAAACCCCACCUGAAGCAAGACCAAAUAGGAAGGAUACGAAUGAGAAUUCACGAUGGCUUACGAUCGGAUCCUUCGGGUAGGUUGCUAGAGCUCAUGGGUAACUAUGAGCCAAGAUGAAUGAUCAACCAGAAUGGGAAUACCAUUCGGACAGAACCCGGCUUAUAGAUUGCUACGCACA